Non-coding RNA from Ameiurus melas (black bullhead), 72 nucleotides. NCBI's taxonomy places the organism in Eukaryota, Metazoa, Chordata, Actinopteri, Siluriformes, Ictaluridae. The record is from the annotation of a GenBank genome assembly.
GGCAUGAUGGCCAAGUGGGAAGGCCUUGGUCUUGUAAACUGAAGAUCACAGGUUCAAUUCCUGUUAAUGCCU